UAGUAAGCCUGCGAAAAGCUACGGGGAGCUGGCAAUAAAGCUUUGAUCCGUAGAUGUCUGAAUCGGGGAACCGGCCCGCAAGGGUCACUCCUGAUUGAAUAUAUAGAUCAGGUAGAGCGAACCCGGUGAACUGAAACAUCUAAGUAGCCGGAGGAAAAGAAAUCAACCGAGAUUCCGAGAGUAGUGGCGAGCGAAAUCGGAGGAGCCUGCAACCUUUAGUUUCUGAAUUAGUAGAACAGUCUGGAAAGUCUGGCCAUAGUGGGUGAUAGCCCCGUACGCAAAAAUUCAGAAGCGGAAAUAGGGUUGGAACAAGUAGGGCGGGACACGAGAAAUCCUGUCUGAAUAUGGGGGGACCAUCCUCCAAGGCUAAAUACUCGUAAUCGACCGAUAGUGAACCAGUACCGUGAGGGAAAGGCGAAAAGAACCCCGGGAGGGGAGUGAAAUAGAUCCUGAAACCGCAUGCAUACAAACAGUGGGAGCGGACUUGUUCCGUGACUGCGUACCUUUUUGUAUAAUGGGUCAGCGACUUACAUUCAGUAGCGAGCU
RNAcentral lists this ribosomal RNA (546 nucleotides) under uncultured bacterium. Its description in RNAcentral is "bacterial LSU rRNA". It matches the Rfam family "Bacterial large subunit ribosomal RNA", at positions 59 to 646 of the family's 2925-position model. The record is from RNAcentral.